AGAGUUUGAUCAUGGCUCAGGACGAACGCUGGCGGCGUGCUUAACACAUGCAAGUCGAACGAUGAACCACUUCGGUGGGGAUUAGUGGCGAACGGGUGAGUAACACGUGGGCAAUCUGCCCUGCACUCUGGGACAAGCCCUGGAAACGGGGUCUAAUACCGGAUACUGACCCGCUAGGGCAUCCAAGCGGUUCGAAAGCUCCGGCGGUGCAGGAUGAGCCCGCGGCCUAUCAGCUUGUUGGUGAGGUAAUGGCUCACCAAGGCGACGACGGGUAGCCGGCCUGAGAGGGCGACCGGCCACACUGGGACUGAGACACGGCCCAGACUCCUACGGGAGGCAGCAGUGGGGAAUAUUGCACAAUGGGCGAAAGCCUGAUGCAGCGACGCCGCGUGAGGGAUGACGGCCUUCGGGUUGUAAACCUCUUUCAGCAGGGAAGAAGCGAAAGUGACGGUACCUGCAGAAGAAGCGCCGGCCAACUACGUGCCAGCAGCCGCGGUAAGACGUAGGGCGCGAGCGUUGUCCGGAUUUAUUGGGCGUAAAGAGCUCGUAGGCGGCUUGUCGCGUCGACCGUGAAAACUUGGGGCUCAACCCCAAGCCUGCGGUCGAUACGGGCAGGCUAGAGUUCGGUAGGGGAGACUGGAAUUCCUGGUGUAGCGGUGAAAUGCGCAGAUAUCAGGAGGAACACCGGUGGCGAAGGCGGGUCUCUGGGCCGAUACUGACGCUGAGGAGCGAAAGCGUGGGGAGCGAACAGGAUUAGAUACCCUGGUAGUCCACGCUGUAAACGUUGGGCGCUAGGUGUGGGGGGCCUCUCCGGUUCCCUGUGCCGCAGCUAACGCAUUAAGCGCCCCGCCUGGGGAGUACGGCCGCAAGGCUAAAACUCAAAUGAAUUGACGG
This 894-nucleotide ribosomal RNA is filed under the name uncultured bacterium. RNAcentral's name for it is "bacterial SSU rRNA". It matches the Rfam family "Bacterial small subunit ribosomal RNA", at positions 8 to 916 of the family's 1533-position model. The record is from RNAcentral.